AAUUAAGUUUCUUUUAAAUUUGAAUGUCAUUAACAAAACUUUUUCCAUUAUUUCAGCCGGUCAUUUGAAUCCUCACUCCCAAUACACCAACCAUGAAAAUUUUCACAAGUAAAAAUCUUCAAAAACAAAUGAUUAGUGGCAUUGGCAUAUAGUUCGGUAGUAAUACAAUUUGAAAGGAAUAUUAUUUAAAGACCACAGAAGCCUACUGGGGGUAAAAGAUCAAGGUAUGUUGAUCAAUUUUAUGCUAUGGAUGAGGUAUGGAAGACGACAAUUCUCUCAAAUUAACUCAUUUUGCCAUCACUAACAAUCUCUUUAACGCCUAGAAUCAACAUUGCAUCAAAUGCAGAAUAUGUAAGAAAAUGAUCAAAUGGCAUUUUCUUUUUUCCAUCAAAUAACAAUCAGGUCUUUUUACCUAGAGCUCUUUCAACAAACAAGGAGACAACGCAUAAAAGAUCCGCCAUUAAAACAACUCAGCUAAUCACUUUUGAGACCACACCUGCUCCAACUGUUCUACCUCCCUCUCUCAAGGCAAAUCUUUGUCCUGCUUCAAGGGGAACAGGUAAGAUCAGUUCAAAAGUUGCAGUCACAUUGUCCCCAGGCAUAACCAUCUUAACAUUUUCAGGCAACUCCACUUUCCCGGUGAUAUCUGCAGUCCUCAUGUAAAACUGUGGUCUGUAGUUGGAAAAGAAGGCAGUAUGUCGUCCACCUUCAUCCUUUGUGAGAACAUAUAUCUCUGCCUCAAAUUUCCGGUAUGUUUUCACAGUUCCAGGCUUCCCAAUCACCUGUCCUCUUUGCACAUCAUCUCGCUUUAGACCACGUAGGAGAAGACCCACAUUGUCACCAGCUUGUCCUUGAUCCAAAAUUUUCUUAAACAUCUCAACACCAGUCACUGUUGUUUUUAGAGGAGCACCCUGCAUUAACCCCAAAAUCUCUACUUCUUCACCAACUUUAAUGGUCCCUUGUUCAACACGUCCAGUUGCAACAGUUCCACGUCCCUGAAUUGAGAAAACAUCUUCUAUUGGCAUUAGGAAAGGUUUGUCAAGUUGCCUCACAGGGUCAGGAAUGUAUUCAUCCACGGCAUCCAUUAACUUCAAGAUGGCUUUUUUCCCAAUUUCUUCAUUUGUUCCUUGUAGAGCAGACAAUGCUGAUCCCUGAAUGAUAGGAAUUUCAUCUCCAGGAAACUUGUAGAAAUUAAGCAGUUCACGAAGUUCCAUUUCCACAAGCUCUAACAACUCUGGAUCAUCAACGGCAUCAACUUUAUUCAGGAAACAUACAAGUGACGGCACACCAACCUGACGAGCAAGCAGAAUGUGCUCCUUUGUCUGUGGCAUGGGCCCAUCAGGAGCAGAUACAACUAGAAUUCCACCAUCCAUCUGGGCAGCUCCAGUAAUCAUGUUUUUCACAUAAUCUGCAUGUCCAGGGCAGUCAACAUGGGCAUAGUGACGUUUAGCGGUUUCAUACUCCACAUGAGCCGUUGCAAUUGUAAUUCCUCUCUUUUUCUCUUCAGGGGCCUUGUCAAUUUCAUCAAAGGCUACAGCCUUGGCUUUACCUUCUUCUGCUAGAACCUUUGUAAUUGCUGCAGUUAGUGUCGUCUUCCCAUGAUCAACAUGUCCAAUUGUCCCCACAUUCACAUGAGGUUUAGUUCGAGUGAAGGUAGCCAUGGAUUUCCACCAUGGACCAGCAGAAACAGAGGUGGUGUCAUUUGUAGAGAGAGAACCAGAGAUUGAGAAGUUAGUGGAGACCGAUACCCGACAGCACCAGUAGAUUUGGGAAGAGAAUGGGAAAAUGCGUUUGGAGUUAGGGUGUCUGAGAGCCGCUGAAGCCAUUAAGAGAAAUGGAGAAUGUCCGGAAAGAGGAGGAGAGAGAGAGACACAGCGGAGGUUUUACUCUCGAGGGUUUUAGAGAGAAAUUGGGCAUUUGUUC
This 1923-nucleotide unclassified non-coding RNA is filed under the name Hevea brasiliensis (rubber tree). Lineage: Eukaryota; Viridiplantae; Streptophyta; Magnoliopsida; Malpighiales; Euphorbiaceae. The record is from RNAcentral.